CCUACGGGUGGCAGCAGUGAGGAAUAUUGGUCAAUGGCCGGAAGGCUGAACCAGCCAUGCCGCGUGAAGGAAGACGGCCCUACGGGUUGUAAACCUCUUUUGUCGGGGAGCAAAGCGAACCACGUGUGGUUCAUUGAGAGUACCCGAAGAAAAAGCAUCGGCUAACUCCGUGCCAGCAGCCGCGGUAAUACGGAGGAUGCGAGCGUUAUCCGGAUUUAUUGGGUUUAAAGGGUGCGCAGGCGGAGGUGCAAGUCAGCGGUCAAAUUGCGGGGCUCAACCCCGUACUGCCGUUGAAACUGCAUCCCUUGAGUGCGCGAGAAGUAUGCGGAAUGCGUGGUGUAGCGGUGAAAUGCAUAGAUAUCACGCAGAACUCCGAUUGCGAAGGCAGCAUACCGGCGCGCAACUGACGCUCAUGCACGAAAGCGUGGGUAUCGAACAGGAUUAGAUACCCGGGUAGUC
This 459-nucleotide ribosomal RNA is filed under the name uncultured bacterium. Its description in RNAcentral is "partial 16S ribosomal RNA". It matches the Rfam family "Bacterial small subunit ribosomal RNA", at positions 338 to 795 of the family's 1533-position model. The record is from RNAcentral.